AGGGGGCAGCUGCAGCCCCACGGCCCGUUUCUGCCCUCCUCCUUCACGCCCUGCCUGCUAAGUUGUGGGGCAGUUGGCCACCAGGAAUUUCCUCCCCUCCGCCCCAUCCCGCCCGGCACCUUCCAGGGUGAGGGUGAGAAAUAACGAGACAGCAGCCUAGAGGAAGGAGAUCCAGGAGAGGAAAAAGAAACAAGUUUUAUUUAAGCCCCAAACACUCGGCUAGAAAAACCAAAAACAAAAGAGAGUAGGGAGGUGGGGAGAAGAAAAAGGACAUUAAAAAAGAGAGACAGAGAAAACACAGCAACCCUUUUCCAUUUGAAAUUGUCAAGUUACACUGACAGAGGUCACAGAAUAUCCACAGAAGCCAUCACUGCUACACCAACACGGGCCCUACGGGGUGGACAGGGUGGGGUGCGGAGUGGGGGUGAGCCUCAGGGGGCCCCACCUGGGACCCCUCUCAGAGCCUCAGGCCUGAGGCUCCUGGGGAAACAGCAUAUUGUGGAAGGGGCGGGAGAGAAACCCCCCAUGCGAGUAACACAGCACAGUGGAUGGGGGCCAGGGGGACCAGGUACAGGGGUCCCCCCAACAUCUUAGUUUUCUCUUGGUCAAGCACACACUGAUGGACAGAGCAUCGAGGCGCAUGCAGCUGGGGGGGCACUGACGUGCUGCAGGCUUUGAGAGGACCGUGGGGAUGGGGGCUUGGGAGGGGAGCCAGAGCGAGCGGUGCAGGGACGAUGGAACACACACACAGGCACUCCCACACGCCCGGGUCCACACACACGAGUCUCUCGCAGCUCCGCACGUCUGCACACACACAUUACACGUGUUCUCACCCGCAAAGCUCCUCCACACCAACGUGCAGGUGGGCACGUGCUGAUGCCCAAGCAGGCUGCAUGCACCUGUGUGCACAUGCCUCCCUGCACACGUGCGGUAGGUCACACCUGUGCGUGCACAUGCUUCCUCCACACGCCGGUAAGUGGACUUGGGUAAGGGGGCUUGCGCUGGUGUACACACACAUACACACACACACACAGGCUGUGCACAACUCCAUGCCAAUACCUCUCAGCCCGUAAAUGUGCAGGAACCAAGGUGACAGAAAGAUGCAAAUCCCACUGGGCUCCACGUGAGGGGGUGGGCGGGGCACAGGGCUCCCUCCAUCUGCCCCCUCGUGGAUGGACACCCCACACACCUCCUCCUCCCCCCACAAAGGGACAUUCAACUCAGGACAGUGACAGUGGGGCACACAUUCAGGUCACGGGGCUGAGGGUGGGAGGUGGGGGGGAGAAAACUAGCAAGCAGAGAGUAAUGGAGUGGAGGGAGGAGGGGGCACCACUCCCCUCCCCUCCCAAGUCAGAGGGUCUCUGUACAGCCAAAUCAACCAACCGUUUCACUGGACCACAGAAGCCAGGCCGGUGUGCCCAUCCUCAGCCCCCCUCCCCCGCCAGAACAGCGGCCAGGGAGAGAGUGCCGUGGUUUUCUUUUUUUUUUCUUUUUUAAAUAUUUAUAUAUAUUUAUAUUACGUAUAUUAUAUAUAUAUAAUAUGUAAAUAUAUUUUUAAAACAAUAUAAAAUGUUAAGACACUUCACUUAAAUGUAAAGAGUUGCCUGCAAUUAAAAGUAAUUGCAUCAUUUAUGAGGUCCUUUUUUUUUUUCUAUUUUCCAGGGUUUUUUUUCAGGAGGGAAUUUUUUUUUCCUCUUCUUUUGUUAUUUUUCAAAAAGGCUUGCUUGCCUUUGUACAAAAAUGAUCCAAAGCUAGAAAACAAGGAUGAGCCAACAAAAACAAAACAAAGAAAAAGAAAGAAAUGAAAGAACACAACCCAGGCCCCCCCCCCCCCCAACAGCUC
Molecule: long non-coding RNA, 1843 nt
Organism: Equus asinus (donkey)
Lineage: Eukaryota; Metazoa; Chordata; Mammalia; Perissodactyla; Equidae
Source: Ensembl